Dreissena polymorpha is the source of this 712-nucleotide long non-coding RNA. RefSeq lists it as uncharacterized. The record is from RefSeq and is a predicted model, not a curated record. The transcript has 3 exons. Lineage: Eukaryota; Metazoa; Mollusca; Bivalvia; Myida; Dreissenidae.
CUCUGACCCAGCGGGUCGGUAACAUUGCCAAGGUGUGGCGCGGUUGCUGCAUAGAGGCAUUCACUGAUGCAGACUCCUAUAGGGUUAACUGAGAGUACACUAGGACACUGCGAGUCUGUUGAUUGCCGUGCGACCACCAGGUCACACGUUGAAUUUCCACAUAGGCAUCUAGAAAAUAAGAAUUGGUUCUUCACAGGAACUCGAAUUAUGAUAUUGUCAAUAAGCUGAAGGCAUUCGAUUCAAUUCCGUCAGACAUGUCCCUUGAUGGUAAAGUCCUGUGCAUUGCUGCUGCAUUCAUGGUGGACUACUACAGCAAUGAUAAUAAGGAUAAGAAUUAACAACGGAAAACAAGAAAGAACCUGCUAAUAACUGACAAUCAUAAUACAGAGGAACAGCGCAUGACAAUAUGAAUUCACAUACAUUAAAAAUAUGCUACUUGAGCAAGCAGGGAUCUUUAGUGUAUCUGAUAUGUAGUCAUUGUUUGCGUGUAAUCAUAGAAUCGAAAGGAGCCUACAUAUGAAGUAGUAUAUUAUAUAUCCUUGUUUUAAAAAGUCACACAUAUACAAAUUAUUUUUCACAUCUCUAUUGUAUUAUGUAUGUUUCCUAUAUUUAAUUCGCCUUUAUAUUUUUAUCAUAUCAGAUGUGUCAUUUAUUAAGCACCAAGAUAGUUCACAAUAAUGAAAAUUAUUUUAGAUCGUAAUUGUGUUAGAAA